RNAcentral lists this ribosomal RNA (385 nucleotides) under Meloidogyne enterolobii. RNAcentral's name for it is "partial 16S ribosomal RNA". The record is from RNAcentral. Lineage: Eukaryota; Metazoa; Nematoda; Chromadorea; Rhabditida; Meloidogynidae.
AUUAUUUUAAGAUUAUUUUUUAUUGUUGAAAAAAUUAAAAAUAAAUUGUUUUUAACAAAAAUUAAAAUUUAUAAUAUUUCAUUUUUUGGUUUUUUGUUUUAAAUUAAAAUAAUAAAUAUGGGGGAAAAAAAAAUUUUGUUAUAAAUUAUAUUAGUUUAUUUUAAUUAAAAAUAUUUUUUAUUAAAUUUGUUUUUUUUAUUUUUUUAUAAAAAAUAUUAAUUUAAUUAUUAUUAUUGAGUUUAAUUUAGUUAUUUUUAAAAAAAUUUUGUAUAAAAUAAAUUUGAUAAUAAAUGUUUUUUAAAUUCUUUGGGGGUUUAGUUUAUGAUUUUUUGUUUCUGCUCAUUGUUAAAUAAAAGCACUUUUAGCGUGAUUGGUCAAAGGAAAA